This 452-nucleotide ribosomal RNA is filed under the name uncultured bacterium. RNAcentral's name for it is "bacterial SSU rRNA". It matches the Rfam family "Bacterial small subunit ribosomal RNA", at positions 354 to 796 of the family's 1533-position model. The record is from RNAcentral.
GUGAGGAAUAUUGCGCAAUGGGGGAAACCCUGACGCAGCGACGCCGCGUGAGUGAAGAAGGCCUUCGGGUUGUAAAGCUCUGUCAGCAGGGAAGAAAUGUCAUAUGGCUAAUAUCCAUGUGAUUUGACGGUACCUGCAGAGGAAGCACCGGCUAACUCCGUGCCAGCAGCCGCGGUAAUACGGAGGGUGCGAGCGUUAAUCGGAUUUACUGGGCGUAAAGGGCGCGUAGGCUGUUAAUCAAGUCAGAUGUGAAAGCCCGUGGCUUAACCACGUGAAGUGCAUCUGAAACUGGUUGACUUGAGUACUGGAGGGGAAGGUGGAAUUCCCGGUGUAGAGGUGAAAUUCGUAGAGAUCGGGAGGAAUACCGGUGGCGAAGGCGACCUUCUGGACAGAUACUGACGCUGAGGCGCGAAAGCGUGGGGAGCAAACAGGAUUAGAAACCCGAGUAGUCC